Long non-coding RNA from Lycium barbarum (goji berry), 1421 nucleotides. RefSeq lists it as uncharacterized. The record is from RefSeq and is a predicted model, not a curated record. The transcript has 2 exons. Lineage: Eukaryota; Viridiplantae; Streptophyta; Magnoliopsida; Solanales; Solanaceae.
AAGAAAAUAAACGUGACAAAAGUAGAGCAAAUAGUUCCAACAUUGACAAGUACGUACAUCCCAAUAUUUCUUGUUUAUAAGAAAGAUAAGAUAUAGAAUUGAGUUUAUUCACAAAUGAGAAAAUAGGUGAAAAGUAUCAAAAGGCUUGCUACGCAGGAGAGAUGAUGCUGGACGAUCGAUGAACAAAUUCAAUCCCUAGUUAGAUUAUCUUUAUUUAUUGGCCAGCAUCAUACUCCUGCAUAUUAAGCCUCCAACGAUGCUACAAAACCAGGUUAAUUAAUUACGAUCGACUGUUGGAGGAGAAACCAUUGUUAGAAAUGUUCACGUAGAAGCUCCUCUUUCAUCUGCAGGCUGAAUUGUUGGGACCAGGAUGGUUAUAGAUACUUGAGAGAGUUUAUUUGUCUCAUUUAUAGACUAUAAUUGAUACUUAUUUAAUCCACAUAUAUCAGCUCACAGUGUCACUUGUUUCUUAACAAGUUUUUUCAGGUUUAGAAGGAGGCACCUGCUCUAACUUGCCUAAACAACUCUUUUUUAUUCUUUUUCCUUCUAAAAGAAAAUGAGCACUUUUCCAGUACUAGGCAAAAAGAAAAGCUUGUGUUAAGUAUAACGCUUUUGCAGAAUGAUUUGAUCCAUCAAUGAUAGCUCUAUGAGAGGCUAAUGACAGAUUUGGAUCCCCUAAAGAUCUUGGCAGCAGGUAGAGAGAUUUUUUUUUUCCUCGAUCUUUAAAGCACAAGGAAAUGCGGACAGAGCAAAGGUCAGCAGAGGGUUUCAAGCAUAGGGUGAAGGUUCGGCCUUUAAGAUUCAGAUAAGAAAAGAGUUCCAAACAAACGUAGAAAUCACAAAGCCAGCUAAAAAAUAAGCAGGCAACAAGGAUAGGCCAGAUAAAGUCGCAAAAUAAAGGAAAAACACGAGACUCUCUAUCUUCUAGGAACAUUGUGUAUUUUGUACGGUAUUUUAAAAAGCAUUUUCGGGGCUCGCCCUGCCUCAGGGCGAUGCGCACUAAAGACACACCGAGGUGUACUGGCAAGACGCACUAAAAACACACCUCACACUCAUGCCUUUUAAAACACUGAUUCUGCAUGAUAGACUGAGGAAAUAGGAACCAUCAUAGCCAAUUGCAGCUGCACAAAUUUUUGUUAUUUUCCUUGAGCAAGUGUAGUGGAUCAUUUUUAUCCUUUCCCCUCUCCUUGUGCACCUCAUUAUCUUCUCUUUCCUUACUGGAUUCAUGAGAUUCCAAGUUCCUGUGGCUUCUGUGUUGGAGCAUAUCACCAAUUCUUUAGGACAGUAAAAUAUAUGAAAGUUCAGAUGAAGGUACUGUGAGCUGAGGAUUCCCCUUACAAUGGGUUCCCUAAGAGAUAUACAAGAAAAUUCAAUCAUGUCAAAUUUGCAUUGAUUUGAAUAAGAAGUACGUCCGUUCUGGU